This is a long non-coding RNA of Prosopis cineraria, 793 nucleotides long. RefSeq lists it as uncharacterized. The record is from RefSeq and is a predicted model, not a curated record. The transcript is spliced from 3 exons. Lineage: Eukaryota; Viridiplantae; Streptophyta; Magnoliopsida; Fabales; Fabaceae.
AUGUAGUGUUCUAAUGUAUACUAACAAGAGGGUGUUAUUUGAUUAAUUGAGUUGAUAAGACUCUUCAUACUAAUAGUAGACCAAAAGGAAGUCUUAUCAUGUUUGUAUGUAAAUGUUAUACCUAUUGAAGGAAGUGUCCCUUUACAGGAAGAUGCAUAUAAUACUUAAGAAGUGUAUACUUGUGAUAUGAUAAUGGUUCUGGUUUUUAACUCCCCAACUCAUGUUUUACAUUAACAUAUAUUACUAAAUUCAUUAUAACUAAUUUAAAUAUGUGAACUCAUUUUUUCCCCAAUUCUUCAAGAGUAAGAGGCAAAAGAAAUCAAACUCAACCGGUAUGGAAUUUCGUUCUUUAAAAGAUGUGGAGAUUGCUUGAUCAAAGUGGGCCGAUAUCAAUGCAGAGCGCGAAGAUCUGGAAAAGAAAAGAGAUUGUCUAUUUUGCUACGUAUUGUCAAAGGAUGCCGUCAGCAAGGUUUCUGACUAUGGCUACAAGCAUGGUCAUUUUCAAAUUGAUGCUGAUGAUCAGGUCAUUUUAAGGAGAAGUAUGAGUUUAGCCAUACGGGUCAUAGUGGUAGGGGAAGACGUCAAGGCAAAGGGAGGGCUGUGGUCGAGGAGCUUGAAGCGUUGUACCUGAAAGAUAGACUCAAUCAUCAAGAGCUUGAAAUUGAAACAUGCACUUCUGUUUUGAUUAAGACCGGAUCUAGAGUGUUGCUUUUGCAUAAACUUCUCAAUUAUAUCCUAAAAAGCUAUUCAGCAAUUUGUAAUAUAUUUUGUGACAUUUGCAGAACUUCCAAAC